RNAcentral lists this non-coding RNA (29 nucleotides) under Rattus norvegicus (Norway rat). The record is from RNAcentral. Lineage: Eukaryota; Metazoa; Chordata; Mammalia; Rodentia; Muridae.
UAACAUUGGAGGCUUUUAUGCUUGUGCUC